This 1035-nucleotide long non-coding RNA is filed under the name Androctonus crassicauda. Lineage: Eukaryota; Metazoa; Arthropoda; Arachnida; Scorpiones; Buthidae. The record is from RNAcentral.
CUCUUCUAAAGGUUAAUUUUCUGCCUACUUUUUUUGCUACUUUUUUAGUAACAUUGUACUUUUUCAUCAUGUAGGGGACUGGCAAAUAUUCUUGCUUUUUUGCUUUUUUAUUAACAUUCCGUUGUUUGGAGGAGAAGGGUUCUUGUGCUUCAUGAUGGAUGGCUGCCAAGAAAUGUUUACUAUAUCCAUGUUAAUAUCUGAGACUAUAGGUAUAAUCAAGUUCUUUUAUCAUUUCUUGGCUGUUUGUGUUGUAAAAGUUUGUCCCUUCAAAAUAAAAGUGAAAGGCCAAUACCUUGUAUGUAAAUGGGUCAGAGGACCACUUUGGGAUAAUGACAGGAUUAUAUGUAGGCUUUCUAUAAAUGGAGAUUUCUAACUUGGUAUCUUUCAACUCUAAUUUUGUCUAAAAAAUGGGCAUUGGUAUCACUGAUUUGUUAUUUUUUUAGUAUAAAACUGUACAGUUCCAUUGUUAAUUCUUCAGCUAAUGCUUCUGCUUUUGUGCCUUUGUCCCAUACUAUGAUAAUAUCAUCUAUGGACCUCAAAUGCAAUUUCAUGUUUUGCUGGAAUUUAUCAAACUUUACUUUCUGCUUCUCUAAACAAGAUUUCAGCUAAGGGGAUGCCAUGGGGCUCCCUAUCAGUACGCUUUUCAUUUGUUGGUAAUAUUUGCCUCUAAACUUGAAGUAUGACUUGUGGCAUAUUAUGUAUGCUAAUUCUCUAAGAAGUGAUGCUCUUUCUUGCAUCUCAGGUGCAUUUGUAAGUAAAAAUCUAUAAAAUGCAAGAUGUGUGUUCUAUUUCUAAAGAUGGAUAGACACUCUCAUAAUCAAAAGUUGCUAUUAUAUCUCUUUCCUGCCAUUGGAAUUCUCUUAGCCUGGCCAAGACUUGCAUUGUGAUGGUGGUUGGGUUGUCCAUUUGGCCUAGAAUUUUCAUGGCCCAAUUUGCCAUUUUUCGCUCUGGGCUGCAAGCAGGGGUACUUCUCUUUUCUGCUAUUGAUCUGGCCAUUACUGGGUCCUUAUGCAUCUUGAUAUAUGCAAACAGUCU